This 497-nucleotide ribosomal RNA is filed under the name uncultured bacterium. Its description in RNAcentral is "partial 16S ribosomal RNA". It matches the Rfam family "Bacterial small subunit ribosomal RNA", at positions 28 to 507 of the family's 1533-position model. The record is from RNAcentral.
GAUGAACGCUGGCGGCGUGCCUAAUACAUGCAAGUCGAGCGAACAGAUAAGGAGCUUGCUCCUCUGACGUUAGCGGCGGACGGGUGAGUAACACGUGGGUAACCUACCUAUAAGACUGGAAUAACUCCGGGAAACCGGGGCUAAUGCCGGAUAAUAUGUUGAACCGCAUGGUUCAACAGUGAAAGGCGGCUUUGCUGUCACUUAUAGAUGGACCCGCGCCGUAUUAGCUAGUUGGUGAGGUAACGGCUUACCAAGGCAACGAUACGUAGCCGACCUGAGAGGGUGAUCGGCCACACUGGAACUGAGACACGGUCCAGACUCCUACGGGAGGCAGCAGUAGGGAAUCUUCCGCAAUGGGCGAAAGCCUGACGGAGCAACGCCGCGUGAGUGAUGAAGGUCUUCGGAUCGUAAAACUCUGUUAUUAGGGAAGAACAAAUGCGUAAGUAACUGUGCGCGUCUUGACGGUACCUAAUCAGAAAGCCACGGCUAACUACGUG